GGAGACGAUGUCGGCUAGGUUCAAGGUUCAACCUUGCUGACCACGAGGAAGGCGUAGACCAGCUGCAAGCCUGCUGCUGGCCGGGAUGUGCAGCAGGCAUCGGGAAGGCGUCGCAUCUUCGACAAAACACAACGAGGCCACUGUUUCCCUGCACAGUGGAUGAAUUGCGGCACGAAGGCCGGUCUCAGCAAGGUGAACGCAAGAAGGGGAAAUCUUCGGUCUUGGCGAGGCUCACCGGUGCUGACGGCGCCACGGGCUCGGCGAGGGCGCGGUGGUCGAUGGGGAGCUCCGGGCGGCGUCGCGAGCUCUGGGGGCGGAGCGGUCGGCGUGGCCGAGGACGAGGCGCGGCUGCGACGGGCUCGCCACGAGCUUGGUCCGUGGCGUCGCGGUUGCAGGCGAUGUCGACGUCGCGAGCGCAGAGCGAACCGGUGGCGGAGACGGUGCCACGGCAGCACAGCUUCGGGACGAGGCCAUGGCGCGGUCGUGGGUGGCUUCGGUGUGGUCGUGCUCUGUGACGUCCGCGGCGAGCUCGUCGGCGAGGUGACGCAGUGGCGCUGGGCGGAGGGAGAAGGAGCAGA
This 578-nucleotide long non-coding RNA is filed under the name Sorghum bicolor (sorghum). RNAcentral describes it as "long non-coding RNA (SBIC_LNC011395)". The record is from RNAcentral. Lineage: Eukaryota; Viridiplantae; Streptophyta; Magnoliopsida; Poales; Poaceae.